AGUCGUACGAGGGCUUUUGCCCUAGUGGCGGACGGGUGAGUAACACGUGAGAAUCUGCCCUUAGGAGGAGGAUAACAGCUGGAAACGGUUGCUAAUACUCCAUAUGCCGAGAGGUGAAAGGAUCUAUCCACCUAAGGAGGAGCUCGCGUCUGAUUAGCUAGUUGGUGGGGUAAAGGCCUACCAAGGCGACGAUCAGUAGCUGGUUUGAGAGGAUGAUCAGCCACACUGGGACUGAGACACGGCCCAGACUCCUACGGGAGGCAGCAGUAGGGAAUUUUCCGCAAUGGGCGAAAGCCUGACGGAGCAAUACCGCGUGAGGGAUGACGGCCUGUGGGUUGUAAACCUCUUUUCUCAAGGAAGAAGUUCUGACGGUACUUGAGGAGUAAGCAUCGGCUAACUCUGUGCCAGCAGCCGCGGUAAUACAGAGGAUGCAAGCGUUAUCCGGAAUCACUGGGCAUAAAGCGUCUGUAGGUUGUUUAGUAAGUCUGCUGUUAAAGACUGGGGCUUAACCCCAGAAAAGCAGUGGAAACUGCUAGACUCGAGUGUGGUAGAGGUAGAGGGAAUUCCUAGUGUAGCGGUGAAAUGCGUAGAUAUUAGGAAGAACACCAAUGGCGAAGGCACUCUACUGGGCCAUAACUGACACUGAGAGACGACAGCUAGGGGAGCAAACGGGAUUAGAUACCCCGGUAGUCCUAGCCGUAAACGAUGGAUACUAGAUGUUGCACGUAUUAACCCGUGCAGUAUCGUAGCUAAGGCGUUAAGUAUCCCGCCUGGGAAGUACGCUCGCAAGAGUGAAACUCAAAGGAAUUGGCGGGGGCCCGCACAAGCGGUGGAGUAUGUGGUUUAAUUCGAUGCAACGCGAAGAACCUUACCAGGCCUUGACAUGUCACAAAUCU
RNAcentral lists this ribosomal RNA (896 nucleotides) under uncultured bacterium. RNAcentral describes it as "bacterial SSU rRNA". It matches the Rfam family "Bacterial small subunit ribosomal RNA", at positions 60 to 998 of the family's 1533-position model. The record is from RNAcentral.